This 98-nucleotide transfer RNA is filed under the name Emericellopsis atlantica. It matches the Rfam family "tRNA". Rfam says of the family: Transfer RNA (tRNA) molecules are approximately 80 nucleotides in length. Their secondary structure includes four short double-helical elements and three loops (D, anti-codon, and T loops). The record is from Rfam by way of RNAcentral. Lineage: Eukaryota; Fungi; Ascomycota; Sordariomycetes; Hypocreales; Bionectriaceae.
GCCCGGCUAGCUCAAUCGGUAGAGCGUGAGACUCUUACGCCUAAUCAGCGAAGGUCCACAUCAUCUCAAGGUUGUGGGUUCGACCCCCACGUCGGGCU